Molecule: long non-coding RNA, 2315 nt
Organism: Crotalus tigris (Tiger rattlesnake)
Lineage: Eukaryota; Metazoa; Chordata; Lepidosauria; Squamata; Viperidae
Exons: 2
Source: RefSeq, a predicted model, not a curated record
GAGUGAUUCACAUAACAACUAUGGCAAGAAAGGUCGUAAAAUGAGGCAAAAUUCACUUAAAUGUCUCACUUAGCAACCUAAAUUCUGGGCUCAAUUGUGGUCGUAAGUUGAGAACUACCUAUACAGAUAAUUCUGCCUGAAUUACUGGGUAGCUAAAACCCAUCUCCAUCUGGUUUCCAACUAUCAUCUAUAAAGCAGGUAGGCAAGAGACUAGUGCAGAGGUGACAGCUUCCUAAACUGCAUGUAGAGCCGUGGUGGCGCAGUGGUUAGAAUGCAGUAUUGCAGGCUAAUUUUGCCCACUGCCAGGAGUUCGACCCUGACCGGUUCAAAGUUCACUCAGCCUUCCAUCCUUCCGAGGUUGUUAAAAUGAGGACCCAGAUUGUGGGGACGAUACGCUGACUCAGUAUACCGAUUAGAGAGGGCUGUAAAGCAUUAUGAAGUGGUAUAUAAGUCUAAGUGCUAUUGCUAGUUUAGUUUAUUGGCUUUCUUCUUUUCUUCUUCCCUUCUCAAUUUAUACAUAUUAAAAAAGGAAUCUCACUCUGCAAGAAAAAUCUACCCAUGACUCAACAAUGCACCUGACAUCUCCCUUUUCAUUAAGCCAGAGGAUUAAGAAUGGAGAUUUCACUAAGAUUAUGCCUUGAUUAAAUCAAAGUCAUAUUACUAAUCUUCUGAAAAUUAUCCUCAGAAUCAUAAGCCUGCAAAGAACUAUUUUCAUGUUUGAAAUCCCCACUUUAGUACACUUACAGGUGGUCCUCAAUUUACACAACUGACUCUGGAAUUUUGGUUAUAAUUUGUUGCAGUCGUUAAUUGAGUCACCAAAUGACUAGACUUUAUUUCAUUUUACAACUGCUUUUUUAUGUCAAUCAUUAAGCAAAUCACAUUAAGCGAAUUACUUGGUCUCAAAUCUGAAUCCAGCUUAUCGAAUGGGUGUUCUUUGCUAGAAAACAGCAAAAAAAAAAAAAGUGCCACAAAAUAUGAUCAUGUGACUAUGGGAUGCUGCAACAGUGGUAAUGCAAGCUGGUUGCCAAACUCCUGAAAUGCCAUCACAGGUCCACAGGAGUGGUUCAGCAAUCAUAACUUUGAGAAUGGGUCAUAAAUAAAGUCCAUUGUAACUUUGAAUGGUUGUUAAGCAACUGGUUGUAAGUCAAAGAUUACCUAUGUAAGUCUAUGAAUCCUUUGCGCCAUAAGCCAAAAAGUAGAAAGCAAACAUGGAUUCAUACACUGGUAAUUUGGAGGAUAUCAGCAUAAAGAUCUGACUUUGCAGUAAAAACCAAACUAAGAUAUCUUUCAGAAAAAGCAAGGAAUCUGCUCAUUAGGCUCCCUGAUAAUACUUCCUACAUAGACCUGUAGUAUUUGUAUUUUCAGCCUUUUGUGCCCCAUCAUUUUUCAUCUGGGCUUCUCUGAGGUCACAGCUUUGCAAGCUGUACUAGUAUGGCACAAGGAGAAAGGAAUUAAACCCUUAGAUUGAAGAGAUGGCAUUGCUCAAACAAUAAGCCUAACCUGUAACCAACAACUCAGCUAUCUUACUGAAGUUGAUCAAUAUCUAGAUGCAAAACCAAGCUGGUGGCAGCCCUUGCUGACUUAGACUGAUCUUGAAAAAGCUAAGCAAAUUGAUAUUUGGAUGGGAGACCAACAGGAAAUCCUAGGGCUGUAGGAAGUCAAUAAAUUCUGAAAGCAGUAUCAAAUCACUUCCAUCUUAUUGCCAAAAUCCCUAGGAGUCAAGAUCAAGUCAAGGAUAACUUGACCAUAUUAUGGGUAAAAUGCUGUCUGGAAACUUCAUACAUACUACUCGUAUUUCAGGAAUGGCUAAGAGAGUCUCAAUCAUCCAAGCCCUGGUUGUCCCAAAGGUACUUUUUCCAAAAGGCAACUGGACUUUCUUGGGUUUUUUUUCUUUGAAAAUGUUUCAUUAUGUGAAUGUGAAAAAGUUCACAUUCUGGACAAAGAGGACCACCAGCUUGAAAGAGGGGUCAAAGGAACCAUCUAUGUUAAAACUGAACAGUCCUCCCUCAACAGAGGGGGAGAGAUAUGACACCCACCUAUCUCCUGCCUACAACGCAGUCCUUUCAGCAGUCCCAAGGUUCCACACCUAUUUUACACUCUGAUUUGCGUGACUUUGAGGACAUAGAUAAACCUCCAAGUGGCCUCAACUACUCUCAGUGACCUAACAACUCAUCCUCAGAGUGCUAACAACCAGAUGACUGCAAAGAAUAUACGGCAUUUCCAGAAAACAUGCUCGUCAUGCUCCAGCUCUUUCGGAAAAAAACACCAAAAAGCAACCGCCGUAGACAAAAAAUAAAAAAUCCCACAAAAUCCCA